This 1525-nucleotide long non-coding RNA is filed under the name Oryctolagus cuniculus (rabbit). RNAcentral describes it as "lncRNA (ENSOCUG00000038004.1)". Lineage: Eukaryota; Metazoa; Chordata; Mammalia; Lagomorpha; Leporidae. The record is from RNAcentral.
GUAGUAAAGAUUGUUCGUAGUUUAUAAUUUCCAGAAUGCUAUUAAAAGAAUGGGAUAUAGAAGCUAAAUGUAAACAUCUAUAAAAUCAACAGAGCCAUUCAAAGUAUUUGCAAAACUCUCAUCAAACUAUGUGACAGUGGCACUUAGACUUUCUUGACUUCUCAGCAACUAAAUAGUAAAUUCAGCUCACCUAAUGAGCUUUAUAUAAAAUUAAACUGUUAAAUCUAACAAUUUCAAUUGACAAUUUGUUAGGCUCAACACUAUAGAAGGAGGAAUCCUGAGGAUGUGUCUCCUGUUUUAAAACUUUUAAAAUGAGGCAAUGAAGCCCAUGGGGUUGUCAACCACAUCUGAAAUACAAACUGCUGAUAGGCAGUAGGAAGAAAAUUAAAGAUUCUUCCUGAUCAUUAUUACUGAAAUACAUUCAAUUUACAUGGAAAAAAAUUUAAAAGAAAUUAAAAUAACCUUUCAAUUUCAUCAUGGUCUUGAAACACUGUGUCCAGUUAUUUUCCCUUUUCCUCCUUUCCAAUGUAUCAGCUGACAGCUAAAAUUGGCCUACAGUCCCUCUCCUAUUUGACUCCUCUCUGACCCAAUUCAGGCUCGGAGUGAGGGAAGCACAGGAGCAGAGCCAACAUUGGGCAUUUGUUUACUUCUUUGUGUCUCAGCACAAAAUGAUGAUAGCACUAGAAAGAGUCUGGGGAAUAAUGUUUCUUUGUUAUGGUGGAGUCUGCACACCUGCAGGGUCAGUGCAUGCAUUGUUUUGUGGUUUUCUCAUAUGCCAGACCAGAUGAGAAAGCAAUUCUUGUUAUUGCUUCGUGAUUCAAUAUACCAACCCAUUCUUGGCUGCACAAAAUAUGUUGAUUAGGAAAAUUUUGGACUGAAACAUUAAUCGAGUUGCUACGGGAUCACAGCAGUAAGUGUUGAUUUCAUCAUUAUGUGAUGAAAAGUUGCUUCUAUGAGCAAAUGAGUCAGAGAAUUUUUAACUAUUCUACAGGAGUAUUUUUCCUAGUUUCUCUGUAGUUGACCAACUAGAAAAAUUUUAGGUUGAAAAGAAAUUAUCUAGAAGUAUACAGUAAAAAGCUAUACAGAAAAUUAUUAUUUUUCUUCUGAUGGUGCAUUGUGUAAUUUGGACAGUGCAUUGCUGUAUAAGGCCACAAAAUUUAUUAUCCAAAAUACUGAAAUUUAUAUUGCAACUCACUGGCUGUGAACCUACUAGAGUUAAUGUGCCAAAUGUAUAGUAGAAAAUAAUUAAGAAUUCAGCAUCACUGCAUUUCUGAGGAUGAUGACACGGUGUUCAACAAAGCCAUUGUGACUAGGACACAGGGUAUACUGUGUGAUGGCAGAGACCACACAAGCAGAAUCAUCCCAAUCACAUCUAUGGUCACAAAUUACAUUUGGCUCACUUAACAGAUUUCAAUUUAUCCACACAUAGAUUCUAAAAAUUUCCUCUAUGUGCUUGAUCUCAUUUUUAAAAUUAUAUUUAUUUGAGAAACAGAAAAAGAAAUCCCCUAACUUCUGAUUCCCUCUC